This 77-nucleotide transfer RNA is filed under the name Opitutales bacterium. Its description in RNAcentral is "tRNA-Arg". It matches the Rfam family "tRNA". Rfam says of the family: Transfer RNA (tRNA) molecules are approximately 80 nucleotides in length. Their secondary structure includes four short double-helical elements and three loops (D, anti-codon, and T loops). Further hydrogen bonds mediate the characteristic L-shaped molecular structure. tRNAs have two regions of fundamental functional importance: the anti-codon, which is responsible for specific mRNA codon recognition, and the 3' end, to which the tRNAs corresponding amino acid is attached (by aminoacyl-tRNA synthetases). tRNAs cope with the degeneracy of the genetic code in two manners: having more than one tRNA (with a specific anti-codon) for a particular amino acid; and 'wobble' base-pairing, i.e. permitting non-standard base-pairing at the 3rd anti-codon position. The record is from RNAcentral. Lineage: Bacteria; Pseudomonadati; Verrucomicrobiota; Opitutia; Opitutales.
GCACCCGUAGCUCAAUUGGAUAGAGCGCUUGGCUACGGACCAGGAGGUUGCAGGUUCGACUCCUGCCGGGUGUACCA